AAGCUCGUAGUUGAAUUUCGGGAUCAAUUAUUGGUCGUGCAAUAGUACGUACUGGUAUUAUUGAUUCCUACCUUCUGACGAACCAUGAUGUCAUUAAUUUGGUGUUAUGGGGAAUCAGGACUGUUACUUUGAAAAAAUUAGAGUGUUUAAAGCAGGCUCACGCUUGAAUACAUUAGCAUGGAAUAACGAAAUAGGACGUUUGAUUCUAUUUUGUUGGUUUCUAGGAUCGACGUAAUGAUUAAUAGGGAUAGUUGGG
RNAcentral lists this ribosomal RNA (256 nucleotides) under uncultured Glomeromycotina. RNAcentral's name for it is "partial 18S ribosomal RNA". It matches the Rfam family "Eukaryotic small subunit ribosomal RNA", at positions 624 to 886 of the family's 1831-position model. The record is from RNAcentral. Lineage: Eukaryota; Fungi; Glomeromycota.